UCUGACAUUCUUUUCAUGUAUUUAAUGCAAUCAAAAAAGAAUCCACAGCUAACCACCUGUCCUGGGUGGCAUGAGAACCAUGGGCUGAGGAUUGGACAAGCUUGCUCUACAAUAUUCAAAGGCCACAGAUCAGCCCUGGGGUUCAGAGGGAUCCUGACGGCUACUCCUCAAGAUCCUCUCUGUUGUGAUUCAUCCCCCCCGGGCCCUACAGUUUCUCCUUCCUGACUCUUACAUUUCUUUGGAUGGCAUCAUUAUUUACCUGUCUCCUCCCAUAGUUAGGUGCCAAGCACUGUGGAUUCUGCCCCUCAGUGUCCAGACACCCAUUUUCCUUCCCACUGUUCCUUCCCCAUGGAGAAGCCUGUGGCUGGCUGACAGCAGAGAGAGAUGCUCAACUUGGAGAAGGUGUUACCUGGGCCAGGUGGGGAAGGUUUGUUUGCAGAGCAAAGAAGUGAAGGAAGUAUUAACCCUUUGCAUGGCCUCCUGAGAAUCCGACAAGACGUAAAUAGCCAAGAAUAUCUGUGGAACUUAAUCACUGAGUUACAGUAUUUAUCACUGCAAGUGUGUUGUUCAUUGACACUAUAAAGCCAUGUGGAAUUAAGCAGCCUUGAAACACAAAAUGGAGAAAGGCUGAGAGCUGAGAAUUGUUGCCUUCAGGAAAAUACAAUCAAUGUCAAGCAAACAACCACCCC
This 689-nucleotide non-coding RNA is filed under the name Pan troglodytes (chimpanzee). The record is from RNAcentral. Lineage: Eukaryota; Metazoa; Chordata; Mammalia; Primates; Hominidae.